CGGCAGAAUCCUCAACUGCUGCGGCAGCUGUUGACGAAGAAGAAGAAGAAGAAGAAGGAGGCCAGUCCCUCUGAAGCGCCUCCAUGUGGAGAACGUGACAGCGAGAAUGAAGCUCAAUGAAAGAGCAAGCGAAGUGAUGAGUCCUCUGACUCUGGUGGCUUCAAACUGUUGAAAGAAAGUCCAUCCUCUCCCAGUACCAGCAGUGAGGAUGAUGUGAAGUCCCCUGACUCUGGUGUUUCCUGCUGUAGUGAUCGGUCUAAAGAGGCAAUCAUAACUUUCAAACAAAGUCACACCUCUACCAGGUAAG
Centropristis striata (black sea bass) is the source of this 307-nucleotide long non-coding RNA. RefSeq lists it as uncharacterized. The transcript is spliced from 3 exons. Lineage: Eukaryota; Metazoa; Chordata; Actinopteri; Perciformes; Serranidae. The record is from RefSeq and is a predicted model, not a curated record.